Molecule: long non-coding RNA, 2865 nt
Filed under: Capsicum annuum
Lineage: Eukaryota; Viridiplantae; Streptophyta; Magnoliopsida; Solanales; Solanaceae
Description: long non-coding RNA (CANN_LNC003852)
Source: RNAcentral
AAGUCUUGCCUUCAUUUGCAUUCAUCAAGGAAGGUUACGACACAUUCUGCAACCAUGCUGCCAGGUACAAAGAAACCAAAGGAAUUCUCAUCAACACAGUUGCAGAAUUCGAAAGUCACGCUGUCAAUAGUUUAGCAUCUGAUCCUGAACUACCUCCAGUGUACACAGUAGGACUUCUUCUUGACGCUGAGAACCAAAAACCUUCAACACAAGCAGCAGGAUCUCGUCCUGACCUUGAGAACCAAAAAGGUAAGGGCAAUUCUACGUCUGAAGAUGAAGAGAUCAUUAAAUGGCUAGACCAGCAGCCAACUGCCUCUGUUCUUUUUCUGUGCUUUGGAACCCUUGGUGUUUUUCAGCCACCACAGCUAGUCGAGAUGGCAAUUGCACUUGAACGAAGUGGUGUUAGGUUUGUGUGGUCAAUGCGUCUCCCUGCAAAUGCUGAAACUACAAAAUUAAAGGAGAUAUUGCCAGAAGGGUUCUUGUACCUAAUCGAAGUUUAAUUUACCAAUUACCGAAUUAAUGUUUAUAAGUAUGAUAUAUGGUAUUUACGUUCAAAUAUCGAUUAUCGAAUUAUCGAGUCUGAACUUUCAAAAUAUCAAACCGAAUACCAAACGCCCGCCCCUAAUUUCAACAAUAUCGAACCGAAUACCAAACGGUCACCCCUAAUUUGAAUAAUAUCCAAAUCUGUAGCCCUUAAACAUAUUAUUUUUAUUUCUUUUCUCUUUGCCGCUUAUCUCCAUCUCUUUCCUUCUUUGAUUCCGUGUAAUCGGUAAAAAAAAGUUGACCGUUUUCACUCUUAUUCAAUUCUAAAAUACAACCUUUGCUUCAAACUACGGCAAUCAAAUUCAAUUCAAUUACAAUUAAAUUUUUCUUUUCUUAUUCUUAUCACUAAUUAAUUAAAUAAAAUAGUAUAAUGACUCCUUAAUUAAUUAAUUUAAAUAGAAUUGAGGAGAUUUUUCUUUGUCAAGCCUGACCCAGUAGUCAAGAGACAAAAAACUGAGAUAUAUGACUUUGAUGUGACAAUGCAUUAUUAUUUUUUUUAUGUAAAACGUAAUAAAUUAUUAUGUUUUACAAUAUUUUUUGCAAAACGUAAUAAUUUAUUACGGUUUAUAAAAUAUUUUGUAAAACGUAAUAAUUUAUUACAUUUUAUAAAAAAUCAGCUCCGUUAGUUGACCGUUAGAAAAAAGUAAAAAACGUAAUAAUUUAUUACGUUUAGCCUAUUUUGAUUACUUAUUAAAAUUUUGGUCACUUCUUUGAUAACUUGACUUAUUUUGGUUCCGAGUUCUGCAAAUUAUAAGAUUUGAUGAAUUUUUUUUUAAUUUGAUUUUUGGUAGAUAUUUAAGAGAUUCUGUAUCAUCAUUUACUGUCCUAAAAUAAAUGCAAAUAUGUUACUUCCUUAUUUAAUAUGUAUCAAAAAGAAAAAGAAAAAUUCGAAAGAAAUGUAUUUUAAAAAAUAAAAGAUUUUAUGUAUUUAUACAUCUUUAAGUUUAUGUUUUAAUGUAAACUUUCCUUCAUUUUACCACAGUUAUUGUUGGGCUCCUCUAAAGACAACGCCAAAAUCAAAUUAUUACAUGUUGACAUUUUUUGAACGUGCAAAAUAACUAAGCCACCCGAGUCCCUUUGAGGCAUAUAUUUUUACCUUGUGCAUUUGAGGCAUAUAUUCAUUUUACCACAGUAAUUCUUGUUGAAGUGGUGUUGAGCUCGUUUAAAGAUAACGCCAAACCUGUUCUGCAACUAAAAUCACUCCAAAUUUUAGAAAAGGCAGAAGCACUACUAUAAAAACGUGGACACACCCAACAUAGACAUUAUUCUUGUAUGAUCAAACAAAAAUUUUCUUCUUGAAACAACACAAAAAUUUUCUUGUUCCAAAGAUGAGCAAAUUAGAGCUGGUAUUUGUGCCUACUCCAGCCGUUAGUCACCUAAUUUCGGUAUGCAAGUUUGCAGAGAAGUUGGUUAAUAGAGAUGAGAGGCUAUGUGCAACAUUUCUAAUUAUAAGGCCACCCCCACCAUUCGAUGCCAGCGUAGAUGCCUACAUCAAGCAAAAGUCCUCUGAUUCCCAGGGCAGUCGAAUUAGAUAUAUCACACUUGCCAAAGCCAAACCGCCACCUUCAGAUGAAAUAGGCAAGUCUAUUGAUAGGUACAUCUCUCUUUAUCUAGCAAAUUGUCGACCCCUCGUUAAGGAAGCAAUUAUCAGCAACAAGAGGCCUGAUUCGAAAAUUAUUGGACUAGUCUUUGAUAUGCUUUGCAGUUCAAUGAUUGAUGUAGCAAAUGAACUUGGCUUUCCUUCUUAUCUUUUCUUGGUUCAAAGUGCUGGUUUUCUUGGUUUCACGUUUUACAUGUCUAUUUGGCGUGACCAAGUCGGGAGAGAAUUUAACCAAUCUGAUGCUGAUGUAAAGAUACCAAUCUUUUCUCAUCCAGUACCCUCAAAAGUCUUGCCUUCAUUUGCAUUCAUCAAGGAAGGUUACGACACAUUCUGCAACCAUGCUGCCAGGUACAAAGAAACCAAAGGAAUUCUCAUCAACACAGUUGCAGAAUUCGAAAGUCACGCUGUCAAUAGUUUAGCAUCUGAUCCUGAACUACCUCCAGUGUACACAGUAGGACUUCUUCUUGACGCUGAGAACCAAAAACCUUCAACACAAGCAGCAGGAUCUCGUCCUGACCUUGAGAACCAAAAAGGUAAGGGCAAUUCUACGUCUGAAGAUGAAGAGAUCAUUAAAUGGCUAGACCAGCAGCCAACUGCCUCUGUUCUUUUUCUGUGCUUUGGAACCCUUGGUGUUUUUCAGCCACCACAGCUAGUCGAGAUGGCAAUUGCACUUGAACGAAGUGGUGUUAGGUUUGUGUGGUCAAUGCGUCUCCCUGCAAAUG